UACGAAGGGGGCUAGCGUUGUUCGGAAUUACUGGGCGUAAAGCGCACGUAGGCGGCUUUCUAAGUCGGGGGUGAAAUCCUGGAGCUCAACUCCAGAACUGCCUUCGAUACUGGAGAGCUCGAGUCCGGGAGAGGUGAGUGGAACUGCGAAGUGUAGAGGUGAAAUUCGUAGAUAUUCGCAAGAACACCAGUGGCGAAGGCGGCUCACUGGCCCGGUACUGACGCUGAGGUGCGAAAGCGUGGGGAGCGAUCCGG
RNAcentral lists this ribosomal RNA (254 nucleotides) under uncultured bacterium. Its description in RNAcentral is "partial 16S ribosomal RNA". It matches the Rfam family "Bacterial small subunit ribosomal RNA", at positions 524 to 776 of the family's 1533-position model. The record is from RNAcentral.